AGGGAACGAGGGAGGGAGGAAGAACACAGGCAAGUCGAACGGCAGCACAGUAAGAGCUUGCUCUUACGGGUGGCGAGUGGCGGACGGGUGAGGAAUACAUCGGAAUCUACUUUUUCGUGGGGGAUAACGUAGGGAAACUUACGCUAAUACCGCAUACGACCUACGGGUGAAAGCAGGGGAUCUUCGGACCUUGCGCGAUUGAAUGAGCCGAUGUCGGAUUAGCUAGUUGGCGGGGUAAAGGCCCACCAAGGCGACGAUCCGUAGCUGGUCUGAGAGGAUGAUCAGCCACACUGGAACUGAGACACGGUCCAGACUCCUACGGGAGGCAGCAGUGGGGAAUAUUGGACAAUGGGCGCAAGCCUGAUCCAGCCAUACCGCGUGGGUGAAGAAGGCCUUCGGGUUGUAAAGCCCUUUUGUUGGGAAAGAAAAGCAGCAGGUUAAUACCCCGCUGUUCUGACGGUACCCAAAGAAUAAGCACCGGCUAACUUCGUG
This 492-nucleotide ribosomal RNA is filed under the name uncultured bacterium. RNAcentral describes it as "partial 16S ribosomal RNA". It matches the Rfam family "Bacterial small subunit ribosomal RNA", at positions 31 to 507 of the family's 1533-position model. The record is from RNAcentral.